Molecule: long non-coding RNA, 1530 nt
Organism: Uranotaenia lowii
Lineage: Eukaryota; Metazoa; Arthropoda; Insecta; Diptera; Culicidae
Exons: 4
Source: RefSeq, a predicted model, not a curated record
AUCGGGAUUAUUUCUUGCGUGCCAUUAAAAAUUUGUAGAUUCGGAACAGUGACAUAGCUGACGCUCGUAAGAGUCUGGAGACAGUCCCACUGCUGCAACAGAUGAAACAGAUGCACUGAUUACGCCGUUCGUUUCAAGAAAUUGGCCAAUACUUCGAUCGGAUGAUGGCUCGAAAUUCUAUUUGCAUGAUGAAUACCCGGAAUUUCUUCGAACGGUGCAAUUGGCACUUGUUGCUGCAGUCUACAGGAUUUCUGUGCGACUCUUGAAAAACGGAAAGCACAAGAACAGAUAGUUGAAGAAUGGCCUGUUCCGUGAAAUCUGACACAUGUUCCGAUUUAGCAAACAUCGUGAGAACGGCAUUUACGCAAUAAGUGACAACGAUCGAAUGGAUUACGCGACUGGUGGCUGGAAUGAAACAUCCGCUUCUUCGGCUCAACAGAAAACUCAGGAUACUCUCGAUCCAUCAGACGGAUGUGUUUAACCGUCGGUUUUCGCACAAUGUCAAGUAAGUUAUCCCACCGUCAUGUACUCUCAAAAUCAUCCAGCACAGCAGACUCGCCAUGGCGCAGCGGAACACCAGUCAACCUGCAUAGCCAUCUAAACAGCUGCAGAAGCAUGUCAACUGGAACGACCGGAAGCAUGGAUAGCAGCAGUUCCGGAUGACUUUCGUCCGGCUACCAUCUCAAAAACGGAACGGUUCCAUCCGCAUCCGAAGUCCAUUUUUAAACCAGGUUCAAAUCUAGAACUCGCUGUCGUAUCAAUGGUUGGCCUCUCAAGUUAAUUCAUUUAAGUACCUCACAGUUUUUAACAAGCAAUCAUCCAAAUUAAUUGAAGCACUCAGCUAGAAAACUGUUCAGUCUCGAGUACCCAUCAAGAUGUUUUUUUUGCAAAUUAGGCUCCAGUAAUGGAAUUGUUACUUUGAAAAACUAUUUGCCGGAUAUAUUAACAGUUUCAUAUACUAUCGUAUGGUUAUGGCAACAUGAUGUACUCUGUUUACUUAACUGACCCUGUUUAAAUGUCCCUGAGCUACUACUAAGGUGGCUAGAGUUUUCAAUAAGAUCGGGUACAAAUCAAAAUCACGAUAAUUUUUAAUUAACUCGUCAGAGUUAAUAAUAUUUUUUUCUAAUUGACAGGCAAUUCAUGAUGAUCUAUUAAUUGCUUUGAAAAUGUUGAAUAUAACAAAUUUCAGACUUUUCUCAAGUUCAUUAUAUGCGGCAUGCUCCUCUGUUAUUGAUAUUUCGUCCCCUAAACACGAUAUCGAUUUUUGAUACAGUCAAAAUUGGUUCUCGGUACUUAAGUUUGUUUUUCGGGAACCAAUUAAUUAAGCAUUUUUUUUUAAAGAAGAUAGAAAUAAAAAAAAUCAAUUAGCAUUGCAAAAGUAUGCGUAACUGUUAACUGUACAGUUAGGUUGUAAAAAAUUGUAAACAUUGGGGCUUAUUCUGCGACGCGAGUGACGUGACUCACGAAAUUUCACUUCUUUGUCCUGACUACAGAAAAAGCUUUAGCAAAGAAAUUUGUGUAUCGAUAAGU